GACGAACGCUGGCGGCGUGCCUAAUACAUGCAAGUCGAACGAGAGCGACCGGUGCUUGCACUGGUCAAUCUAGUGGCGAACGGGUGAGUAACACGUGGGUAACCUGCCCAUCAGAGGGGGAUAACAUUCGGAAACGGAUGCUAAAACCGCAUAGGUUCUACAGUCGCAUGACCGAAGAAGGAAAAGAGGCUUCGGCUUCUGCUGAUGGAUGGACCCGCGGUGCAUUAGCUAGUUGGUGAGGUAACGGCUCACCAAGGCUGUGAUGCAUAGCCGACCUGAGAGGGUGAUCGGCCACAUUGGGACUGAGACACGGCCCAAACUCCUACGGGAGGCAGCAGUAGGGAAUCUUCCGCAAUGGACGCAAGUCUGACGGAGCAACGCCGCGUGAGUGAAGAAGGAUUUCGGUUCGUAAAACUCUGUUGUUAGAGAAGAACAGCGCAUAGAGUAAC
RNAcentral lists this ribosomal RNA (449 nucleotides) under Granulicatella elegans. RNAcentral's name for it is "bacterial SSU rRNA". It matches the Rfam family "Bacterial small subunit ribosomal RNA", at positions 28 to 465 of the family's 1533-position model. The record is from RNAcentral. Lineage: Bacteria; Bacillati; Bacillota; Bacilli; Lactobacillales; Carnobacteriaceae.